GAUGAACGCUAGCGGCGGGCCUAAUACAUGCAAGUUGAACGAGAUUGUUGGUAGCAAUACUGACAUGAAAGUGGCGCACGGGUGCGUAACACGUAUGUAACCUACCUUUAACUGGGGCAUAGCUUCGAGAAAUCGAAAUUAAUACCCCAUAACAUUUAGAAAAGGCAUCUUUUCUUUAUCAAAGUUCCGGCGGUUAAAGAUGGACAUGCGGUGCAUUAGCUUGUUGGUGAGGUAACGGCUCACCAAGGCUACGAUGCAUAGGGGGUCUGGAGAGGAUGAUCCCCCACACUGGUACUGAGACACGGACCAGACUCCUACGGGAGGCAGCAGUAGGGAAUAUUGGGCAAUGGACGAAAGUCUGACCCAGCCACGCCGCGUGAAGGAUGACUGCCCUAUGGGUUGUAAACUUCUUUUGUAUGGGAAGAAAAUUCCGAACGUGUUCGGAGCUGACGGUACCAUAAGAAUAAGCAUCGGCUAACUCCGUGCCAGCAGCCGCGGUAAUG
This 503-nucleotide ribosomal RNA is filed under the name uncultured bacterium. Its description in RNAcentral is "bacterial SSU rRNA". It matches the Rfam family "Bacterial small subunit ribosomal RNA", at positions 28 to 525 of the family's 1533-position model. The record is from RNAcentral.